GCAAUUCUGGGAAUGUUCAGGCUCUCUCUGUUCUUUCCUCUCUUGCAAACCAUGGGCACCCUUGGGUCCCUUGGGGUCACUAUGUUACACCUGCUUUUUAUCUGUCUGGGCAAGAGCUGCUCAAGCCACACCUUGUGACACUGAGAUCAGCUAUGAAAAUACCCAGCCGGCCUGCAGCCCUCCCGGCAGAUGCUGAAAAGGAAACCCGACUGGGAGAUGCCGCCCACCCUUAUCCCCAGAGAGCUGCGUUGUUUCCUCUUGCCUUGGCCUUUGGAUCCGGCCAUAGCAAGCAUCCCUGGGCACCUGGCUGAAGCUGGAAACUCGGGAUAAGAAUGGAAGCCCUGGAAGGGAAGAAGAACCGAGGAGAGGACAGCACAUUGCACUCUCACCUCCUUUGCAGUUAAGUGUGAAAUAGUGCCAAUAGAGUGUAAAAGAAAAGAAAGAAGAUGAUUCACCUCCCAAAGAUUCCCCACUGCUGUGUCCCUUCUAUCAACUUGAUACAAAAAAACACAAUGGCCCCGGGAACCACGUGUUGAAGAUGAGAGAGCUAAAAGAUGGAAAGAGACUGGAGCCCUGAGUCACCACCUGGAGGAAAACUACC
Molecule: long non-coding RNA, 601 nt
Filed under: Homo sapiens (human)
Lineage: Eukaryota; Metazoa; Chordata; Mammalia; Primates; Hominidae
Description: non-protein coding LINC01093:5
Source: RNAcentral